UAGAGUUUGAUCCUGGCUCAGAACAAACGCCAGCGGCGUGCCUAACACAUGCAAGUCGGACGAGAAAUCCUGAGCAAUCGGGAGAGUAAAGUGGCGCACGGGUGAGUAACGCGUGGGUAAUCUGCCCUGGAGAUGGGAAUAACACCUCGAAAGGGGUGCUAAUACUCGAUAAAAUCCCGGAGACUCCGGUCUCAGGGAUAAAAAGGUGGCCUCUGCUUGCAAGCUAUCGCUUCAGGAUGAGCCCGCGUACCAUUAGCUAGUUGGUGGGGUAAUGGCCCACCAAGGCAAUGAUGGUUAGCUGGUCUGAGAGGAUGGCCAGCCACACUGGAACUGAGAUACGGUCCAGACUCCUACGGGAGGCAGCAGUGAGGAAUCUUGCGCAAUGGGGGAAACCCUGACGCAGCAACGCCGCGUGAGUGAUGAAGGCCUUAGGGUUGUAAAGCUCUUUCGGCGGGGACGAUGAUGACGGUACCCGCAGAAGAAGCCCCGGCUAACUUCGUGCCAGCAGCCGCGGUAA
RNAcentral lists this ribosomal RNA (517 nucleotides) under uncultured Geobacter sp. RNAcentral's name for it is "bacterial SSU rRNA". It matches the Rfam family "Bacterial small subunit ribosomal RNA", at positions 1 to 523 of the family's 1533-position model. The record is from RNAcentral. Lineage: Bacteria; Pseudomonadati; Thermodesulfobacteriota; Desulfuromonadia; Geobacterales; Geobacteraceae.